GUACCUUCAAGCUCUGCUUGGUGUUGGGUGUUUGUCCUUUCCCUGCGAUUGGACUCGCCUUAAAGUCAUUGGCAGCCAGUGUUUUGGUUUUGAAGCGCAGCACAAGUCGCGAUUCAAGCCGGUAGCACCAGCUUCCAUCAAGCCUUUUUAUCAC
RNAcentral lists this unclassified non-coding RNA (154 nucleotides) under uncultured Setomelanomma. Its description in RNAcentral is "partial internal transcribed spacer 2". The record is from RNAcentral. Lineage: Eukaryota; Fungi; Ascomycota; Dothideomycetes; Pleosporales; Phaeosphaeriaceae.